Molecule: ribosomal RNA, 303 nt
Filed under: uncultured bacterium
Lineage: Bacteria
Description: partial 16S ribosomal RNA
Rfam family: Bacterial small subunit ribosomal RNA
Source: RNAcentral
AGCAGUCGCCGCGGUAAAACAGAGGAUGCAAGCGUUAUCCGGAAUGAUUGGGCGUAAAGCGUCUGUAGGUGGCUUUUCAAGUCCGCCGUCAAAUCCCAGGGCUCAACCCUGGACAGGCGGUGGAGACUACCAAGCUGGAGUACGGUAGGGGCAGAGGGAAUUUCCGGUGGAGCGGUGAAGUGCGUUGAGAUCGGAAAGAACACCAACGGCGAAAGCACUCUGCUGGGCCGACACUGACACUGAGAGACGAAAGCUAGGGGAGCAAAUGGGAUUAGAUACCCCCGUAGUCCCUGUCUCUUAUAA